RNAcentral lists this long non-coding RNA (2247 nucleotides) under Homo sapiens (human). RNAcentral describes it as "HSALNT0153868". Lineage: Eukaryota; Metazoa; Chordata; Mammalia; Primates; Hominidae. The record is from RNAcentral.
GCGCGCCGGGCGGGGGGCGGGCGUCCGGGCUGGCCUGCGGUGUUCUCCCGCCCCCGCCCCGGGCUGGCGCGCCCCGACGCAUCUCCUAGGGGCACCGGGGCUCUCCGCCGAGCUCCGGGCAGGUCCUGAGUUCCCUCGCGCAUGCAUGCAGCCAUUCGUUCCACAGCCAUGACUGGGCACCUACUGUGUGCCAGGCCCUCAGUGAUUUCAUGCCUAGGGAAGGCAAGAAGUCGGCGCCCAAAGAAACUUUGAAAUGAGGAGUCUUGCACGACGGGUGCGCGGUUGAGCUGAGGUCCCGCUGACUUCCAGUCCAGUGCUCGUCCCUUGGCACUAGUAAGCUUCCCUGGUUAAACCUCCCCAAGGCUCGUGGGACCCCUACCUGAUCUGUGCUCCUGCUUCCCACCUCCGUCUCAUCUCACACCUGCCUUCCUGCGGAUCCUAGAGCGCCUUUCUGUCCAUCAAACACUCGAACUUCACUAACCUCAGGACAUUGGCGCCCGCCUUUCCCUCUGUGGGACGUUCUUGCCCAGCUUUUCACGUGGCCGGCGCCUUCUCAUUGUACAUAGGUCCCCUCCUCAGAGAGGCCUUUCCUGACCACCUUCCUCGAUUAGCCCUCUGCUCCUGACCACUCCGUGUACUCUGUUUUCUUCAUAGCAUUUAACAGUGAUUUAUCCAUUUUCAGCAAAUAUUUAUUGAGCACCUAUUCUGGUUUUUCUCGCGUGGGGAACAAAUAGACAAAAAUUCUGUCCCCCAGUGGAGUUUGGGGAAAGAGGGACAGGUAACAGAUAAACAGCAAAUUAGCAAACUAUGCAUUAUAUUAGAAAGUGAUAAGUUCUAAGAGGAAAAAGAGCAGGGUCAGGAGAUUUGGGGCUGGAGGUAAGCAGUGAAUUUUCAGUGAAGCGGUCGGAUAGGGCCCUUGAGCUGAUGGACGGUCUGAUUGGGUGACACUGAGAAGGUGAUAGUGGUAUUUCAGCCACGCAGAUAAGCAGGGAAGAGCAUUCCUGGCCGAGGGAACAGCCAGUGCCAAGACCCAAAAGAGCGCCGGACCGCUUAGGGAACGGCAAGGAGGCAGAGGAGCAGAUGAGAAUUGUUUUGUUUUCCAUCUUGGCUGCCUCCAAAUUUUGCUGACCAAGUGCAAAGCCCAGGUUUCUUAACAAGCCAAGGCUCUACGACCAGGGCACAACAAUCCAUACCUUGCUUGAAGGAAACAGCUGGAGGUCAAGAACUCUCACUACUACUGGAAAUUCAUGUGGCUGAGGGAUGGAACAGAAGAGAGCUUUUGGAUAAGGAUAAAAGAAAAGGAAAAAUGGUUUUGGUGACCCAGGGAUCAGGAAUGAUGCCUCCCUGAUACAGGUGGUAACAGAAUGGCCAGAGAAGUGAGAUGGAGAAUUCCAACUGGUCAGCCCUCUGCUGGAAGUCACAUCCAUGAAAAGACAGUUAUCUGAAAACCUAUUCUUGCUUGGCUUACCAUUUCAUUGCCGAGAAACUGGAAACCUGUCCUGGGCCCAGGAGAACACUGUGCUCCGAAUUCCUGGUGACAUUUUAAGAACGGGGGAUGCUAUUCAGCCUGCCCAGUGAUCUGGUGCUUCUAGUGUUGCACGGAUGACACACCACAGGAUUUCCUCAACUGCGCCCUGGCGUCCUGCUAGGAUGUCUUUCUCAUUUUUUCCAUGGUACACACAGUCAUUGCAUCACAGUCCAAACGGACUGUCCAGCGAUGCCUUUGUAAACAUGAGUCACAUGUGAAGUUAAAGGAAUCUGUGUUCAGCCAGGGACAGCAGAGUUCCUAAGGCACAUCGUCUUCACAUAAGGGGUGCAGAUUGAUAAGGGUCAUAGGACUUCCUGCUGAGAUGCCCAAGCAGUGCUCCGGGACUCACUUUAUGCAGCAGCCACUGAGGCCUCCAUCCAUAACACUCUUCUUCAUCCCUAUGAAGUUCUCCAGCUAUCAUAUCAGAAAACAUUACUAUUUCCCCAUUUUUCACCUUCUUGGGUGUCUCUCAGUUGGGUCCUGAAUGUCACCCCCUGUCCAGCCUUGGUCAUCCCAGCCCAAGCACAGGCACAAACCUCUUUCUUGCUUCCCCUUGAAAAAUGAAGGUCACCUAUAUCAACCUCCCGAAACAACACAUUCGACUGUCUCUGCCUGUUGAAAUCCUGGUUAAGGUCCAUCUCAGAAACUGCCUCUUCCCCGAUUAUCUCCACUGGCUAUGAGCUCUCUAAUCCCUGCACCAGAGAGUAUUUGAUCUGUUU